GUCCAGGGUAGCCUAGUGGGCAUGGCAUCUGCUCGGUAAGCGGAACACUGUGGGUUUCGUUCCCAUCCUGGACA
Molecule: non-coding RNA, 74 nt
Organism: Cordylochernes scorpioides
Lineage: Eukaryota; Metazoa; Arthropoda; Arachnida; Pseudoscorpiones; Chernetidae
Source: the annotation of a GenBank genome assembly